Molecule: ribosomal RNA, 720 nt
Filed under: Alcaligenes aquatilis
Lineage: Bacteria; Pseudomonadati; Pseudomonadota; Betaproteobacteria; Burkholderiales; Alcaligenaceae
Description: bacterial SSU rRNA
Rfam family: Bacterial small subunit ribosomal RNA
Source: RNAcentral
GAGAGAGCUUGCUCUCUUGGUGGCGAGUGGCGGAGGAAAGAGUAAUAUAUCGGAACGUGCCCAGUAGCGGGGGAUAACUACUCGAAAGAGUGGCUAAUACCGCAUACGCCCUACGGGGGAAAGGGGGGGAUUCUUCGGAACCUCUCACUAUUGGAGCGGCCGAUAUCGGAUUAGCUAGUUGGUGGGGUAAAGGCUCACCAAGGCAACGAUCCGUAGCUGGUUUGAGAGGACGACCAGCCACACUGGGACUGAGACACGGCCCAGACUCCUACGGGAGGCAGCAGUGGGGAAUUUUGGACAAUGGGGGAAACCCUGAUCCAGCCAUCCCGCGUGUAUGAUGAAGGCCUUCGGGUUGUAAAGUACUUUUGGCAGAGAAGAAAAGGUAUCUCCUAAUACGAGAUACUGCUGACGGUAUCUGCAGAAUAAGCACCGGCUAACUACGUGCCAGCAGCCGCGGUAAUACGUAGGGUGCAAGCGUUAAUCGGAAUUACUGGGCGUAAAGCGUGUGUAGGCGGUUCGGAAAGAAAGAUGUGAAAUCCCAGGGCUCAACCUUGGAACUGCAUUUUUAACUGCCGAGCUAGAGUAUGUCAGAGGGGGGUAGAAUUCCACGUGUAGCAGUGAAAUGCGUAGAUAUGUGGAGGAAUACCGAUGGCGAAGGCAGCCCCCUGGGAUAAUACUGACGCUCAGACACGAAAGCGUGGGGAGCAAACAGGAUUAGAU